CACAGGCUGGAGUGCAGUGGCGCGAUCUUGGCUCACUGCAAGCUCCGCCUUCCGGGUUCACGCCGUUCUCCUGCCUCAGCCUCCGGAGUAGCUGGGACUACUGGCGCCCGCCACCAUGCCCGGCUAAUUUUUUGUAUUUUUUAAUAGAGACGGGGUUUCACCGUGUUAGCCAGGAUGGUCUCAAUCUCCUGACCUCUUGAUCCCCCUGCCUCGGCCUCCCAAAGUGCUGGCAUUACAGCCGUGAGCCACUGCGCCUGGCCUGUAGCAGUCUCCUGUGAGUCCUGGCUUUGAGCAAAAAUCACCAUCAGAGUCGUUUAUUGGUCGAGAGAAGAGGUCAAAUUCUCAAUCAUACAUUGGACGACCAAUUCACCUUGACAAGAUUUUGAUGUCUAAAGUUAAAGUGCCACACACAUUUGUCAUCCACUCCUACACCCGGCCCACAGUGUGCCAGUACUGCAAGAAGCUUCUGAAGGGGCUUUUCAGGCAGGGCUUGCAGUGCAAAGAUUGCAGAUUCAACUGCCAUAAACGUUGUGCACCAAAAGUACCA
This 547-nucleotide small RNA is filed under the name Pan troglodytes (chimpanzee). RNAcentral describes it as "processed transcript". The record is from RNAcentral. Lineage: Eukaryota; Metazoa; Chordata; Mammalia; Primates; Hominidae.